UACGUAGGUGACAAGCGUUGUCCGGAUUUACUGGGCGUAAAGAGCGCGCAGGCGGUCGAUCAAGUCGAGUGUGAAAGCCCCCGGCUCAACUGGGGAGGGUCAUUCGAUACUGAUCGACUCGAAGGCAGGAGAGGGUAGUGGAAUUCCCGGUGUAGUGGUGAAAUGCGUAGAUAUCGGGAGGAACACCAGUGGCGAAGGCGACUACCUGGCCUGUUCUUGACGCUGAGGCGCGAAAGCUAGGGGAGCAAACUGG
Molecule: ribosomal RNA, 253 nt
Filed under: uncultured bacterium
Lineage: Bacteria
Description: partial 16S ribosomal RNA
Rfam family: Bacterial small subunit ribosomal RNA
Source: RNAcentral